AAACAAACUAUUUAUUAUAUACCAAAAUAAAUGGCAUUUAAACUUACUAGCUAAUGAAAACAGUAAAUUGCGUUCUUACAAGAUAUUUAAAUCAAAUAAUGGUACAGAAAAAUGUUUUAGUAUUACUAUGCCCGGUAAAUAUAGAAAUGCAUAAUAUUAUGCUAUAUUUAAGCAGGUGUUGCACCGAUUAAAAUUGAAACUGGCAGAUAUGAAGGUAUAGAUGUAAUUGAAAGGUUUUGUUUUAAUUGUACAAAAAUUGAUUUGAAUGUAAUUGAAGAUGAAAAACGUGUUUUAUUAGAAUGCCAAGAAUAUGCAGAUUUGCGAACGAUAAUUUUAAAAGUGUAUGUAAUAUAGUUUGUAGUUUUAGUAAUUUGACUAACGAGGAAAAGUUUUUAUGCCCCACCUACGAUAGUAGAGGGGCAUUAUGUUUUCUGGUCUGUGCGUCCGUCCGUCUGUCUGUCUGUCUGUUCGUUCGUCCGUCUGUCCCGCUUCAGGUUAAAGUUUUUGGUCAAGGUAGUUUUUGAUGAAGUUGAAGUCCAAUCAACUUGAAACUUAGUAUACAUGUGCCCUAUGAUAUGAUCUUUCUAAUUUAAAUGCCAAAUUAUAGUUUUGAUCCCAAUUUUAUGGUUCACUGAACAAAGAAAAUGAUAGUGCAAAUUUCAGGUUAAAGUUUAUGGUCAAGGUAGUUUUUGAUAAAGUAGAAGUCCAAUCAACUUGAAACUUAGUAUACAUGUUCCCUUUGAUUAGAUCAUUCUAAUUUUAAUGCCAAAUUAGAGAAUUUAUUCCAAUUUCACGGUCCACUAAACAUAGAAAAUGAUAGUGUGAGUGGGGCAUCCGUGUACUGUGGACACAUUCUUGUUAUUUAUGCUUCAUGAUGACAGAAUUUGUUAUUUUACAGCCAAAAUCUGCCAUGAAGUACUUUUUAAGAGAAAGUGUAUUUAAUACUCGUAAUAAGUGUAUAUAAUGUUGUUUGUUUUCUUUUGUAUAAUUGUUUUU
Molecule: long non-coding RNA, 996 nt
Filed under: Mytilus galloprovincialis (Mediterranean mussel)
Lineage: Eukaryota; Metazoa; Mollusca; Bivalvia; Mytilida; Mytilidae
Source: RNAcentral